RNAcentral lists this ribosomal RNA (1235 nucleotides) under metagenome. RNAcentral's name for it is "bacterial LSU rRNA". It matches the Rfam family "Bacterial large subunit ribosomal RNA", at positions 1564 to 2808 of the family's 2925-position model. The record is from RNAcentral.
UGAGUACGAGACGCUACGGCGUUGAAGCAGUGUAUGUCAGACUUCCAAGAAAAGCUCGCAAUGUCAUAAACAAAUAAUGCCUGUACCAUAACCGACACAGGUGGGUAGGUAGAGUAUACUAAGGGGCGCGAGAUAACUCUCUCUAAGGAACUCGGCAAAAUGACUCCGUAACUUCGGGAGAAGGAGUGCCUUAUUUUUAUAAGGUUGCAAUAACAAGAUCCAAGCAACUGUUUACCAAAAACACAGGUCUCCGCUAAGUCGUAAGACGAUGUAUGGGGGCUGACGCCUGCCCAGUGCCAGAAGGUUAAAGAAGUUGGUUAGCAAUAGCGAAGCUGAUAACUGAAGCCCUGGUGAACGGCGGCCGUAACAAUAACGGUCCUAAGGUAGCGAAAUUCCUUGUCGGGUAAGUUCCGACCCGCACGAAAGGCGUAAUGAUUUGGAUGCUGUCUCGGAGAGGGGCUCGGUGAAAUAGACUUGUCUGUGAAGAUGCGGACUACCUGCACCAGGACAGAAAGACCCUAUGAAGCUUUACUGUAACUUGAAAUUGAAAUUGGACUUUACUUGCGCAGUAUAGGUGGGAGGCGUUGAUUUUAUUCUUGCGGGAAUUUAGGAGCCAUCAGUGAGAUACCACUCUGGUAUGUUAGAUUUCUAACUUUGUAUCAUAAUCUGGUCAAAGAACAGUUUCAGGCGGGCAGUUUGACUGGGGCGGUCGCCUCCCAAACGGUAACGGAGGCGUACAAAGGUUUCCUCUGAACGUGUAGAAAUCGUAUCUAGAGUGUAAAGGCAUAAGGAAGCUUGACUGUGAGACCUACAAGUCGAGCAGGGACGAAAGUCGGUCUUAGUGAUCUGACGGUGCUGAGUGGAAAGGCCGUCACUCAACGGAUAAAAGUUACCCUAGGAUAACAGGCUGAUCUCCCCCAAGAGUUCACAUCGACGGGGAGGUUUGGCACCUCGAUGUCGGCUCAUCGCAUCCUGGGGCGGUAGUACGUCCCAAGGGUUGGGCUGUUCGCCCAUGAAAGCGGUACGCGAGCUGGGUUCAGAACGUCGUGAGACAGUUCGGUCCAUAUCCGGUGUAGGCGUUAGAAUAUUGAGAGGAUCCUUCUUUAGUACGAGAGGACCGAGAAGGACAUACCUCUGGUGUACCAGUUAUCGUGCCAACGGUAAACGCUGGGUAGCUAUGUAUGGAAAGGAUAACCGCUGAAAGCAUCUAAGUGGGAAGCCUACCUCAAGAUAAG